RNA transcript from Epinephelus fuscoguttatus (brown-marbled grouper), 7010 nucleotides. It is a transcript of the gene named ubiquitin specific peptidase 54b, with no coding region annotated. Lineage: Eukaryota; Metazoa; Chordata; Actinopteri; Perciformes; Serranidae. The transcript is spliced from 21 exons. The record is from RefSeq and is a predicted model, not a curated record.
GCCGCUGUUACUUUUCAGUAGUUUGGAUUUCUAAUGGCACUUCUCUCUGUUACAGUGGUUUUAAAAUCCCUGCCACAGUAAACAGUGUCCCCAUGACCUCUCACCUGCUCUGUGAACAGCAGUGCUCAGGCUGUGACUGUAAACGGCUGCUGGCAGACCUCCAGUGAUAGAAAUGAAACAGAUGCUCUGCACACGCUGCUGACAGCAGGCUGCAUCUGACCGUGGAGGUGUGUACAGCACACAGAGACAAAAAGACAGGUAGGUAGAGCCCAACACGGUCAGCAGCUCCGGGAUGACAUCACCACCAUCAUCAUCAUCAUCGUUACACUCUGUUCGCCUCGCGCCCAGAAGACGGCGGCAUCGGGCUGAGCUGAACGGCCUGCUAAAACCGCUACGUCACACGCUCCAGGAGGAGAGCUGGAAGAUGGGACGGUAUCGCGAGAGCGGCGUGCCGCGACCGCAGCGCUGGAUGGCGCUGGUGGGGGCUGGAUGCGCCCACGGCUCGCCCUCUCUCCCGUUAAAUCACACGGUGGGACACGCGAGCGGACGGAGACUGGCGGCGACAGCAGCCGGGGCAAAGUGAAAGAGGAGAAGAAAGCAUUAAAGGGGUCCCCACAUGGGAGCAGCAGUGCUGCCUAAUCAACAUUUAUCCGACAGAAUCUGGCAAAAGACGCUUUGGACACGCUCUCAUGUCCUCAAACACAAACUGAUAAAUCCAAGGAGCUAAAAAAAGAAAAAGCCAACCGCUGGCCCCAGCAAGUGGACAGAUUUUAAAGUAAAAACACGGCUGGAGAGGGGGAGGGUUGUAUGGGUGCCAAAUCCCCAUCCAAGACACACAGCAUCUCCUCGAUCUACGGCUGCCGCCUCUCUCCUCCUCCUCCUCCUCCUCCUCCUCAUCCCUCCAUUUCCUCCUCCUCCUCUUUUCUUUCAUUCUCCCUCGUUCUCUCUCAUGGGAGUGACAUAGAGGCCGUCGCUUGGUCAGCUGCCCCGCCCCUUCCCCGCCUUGCCGUGGAAACGGGGGCGUCCAGGUAGUGAUGUCGUGGAAGAGAAACUACUUUGCGUCGGGUGGCGGAGCAGUAGGCGGGGUGCAGGGGCUGGUGACCCCGAGAACCAUGACCUCUAUUGCACCCAGCAAAGGCCUGAGCAACGAGCCGGGACAGAACAGCUGCUUCCUCAACAGCGCUCUGCAGGUUUUGUGGCAUCUGGACAUCUUCCGCAGAAGCUUUCGACAGCUGACCACACACAAGUGCAUGGAGGACUCGUGUAUCUUCUGCGCUUUAAAGAGUAUCUUUGCUCAGUUCCAGUUCAGCAGUGAGCGCGUGCUGCCAUCAGAUGCACUGCGGAGCGCGCUGGCCAAGACUUUCCAAGACGAACAACGCUUUCAGCUGGGUAUCAUGGAUGACGCUGCCGAGUGCUUCGAGAAUCUCCUGAUGCGUAUCCACUUCCACAUCAGCGCGGAGAGCCGAGAGGACAUCUGCACCGCCAAGCACUGUAUACCACACCAGAAGUUUGCCAUGACUCUGUUUGAACAGUGUGUCUGUAACAGCUGUGGAGCCACAUCGGACCCCUUGCCCUUCAUUCAGAUGGUUCAUUACAUCUCCACUACGUCCCUCUGUAACCAGGCGGUGAGGAUGCUGGAGUGCAGAGAGAAACCCACACCAGACAUGUUCGGAGAGCUGCUCCGCAAUGCCAGCAACAUGGGAGACCUGCGCAACUGCCCUAGUAACUGUGGGGAGGUGUUGCGUAUCCGCAGGGUGCUGAUGAACUCACCGGAGAUCGUGUCCAUCGGGCUGGUGUGGGACUCAGACCACUCUGACCUGGCGGAGGACGUCAUACACAGCCUGGGGACGUGCUUGCGUCUGGGAGAUUUGUUCUACCGUGUGACAGAGGAGAGGGCUCGCCAGGCGGAGCUCUACUUGGUGGGCAUGGUGUGCUACUACGGCAAACACUACUCCACCUUCUUCUUCCAGACCAAGAUACGCAAGUGGAUGUACUUCGACGACGCCCACGUCAAAGAGAUCGGCCCUAAGUGGAAGGACGUGGUGUCUCGCUGUAUCAAAGGCCACUAUCAGCCCCUGCUGCUGCUCUACGCUGACCCCCGUGGGACGCCGGUGAUACUGCAGGAGAGCCCCAACCCCUGUACCAGCUCCAACCCGCAGCUGGAGCUCCAGCACUGCAGCAGCAAGGCUGGUUACGACAGUGAAGACUCCGGUCGGGAGCCGUCCAUAUCCAGCGACACUCGCACCGACUCUUCGACAGACAGCUCGAGUCACCGUGCCUCUCGCAGCCGAUCUCUCCACCAGUCCACGGGCAGCCACCUCUCCAGCGAAUCCCAGACCACAGUGGUCUGUAAUUACGACAUCGGCACACCACCGCACGGUGCUGACGCCGGAGAGUCAGCAGUGGAGGGGCCUCCCCGCCCUCCCUCUCCUCCCCUGCAGGAGUACAAGGAGACGGCCGUCUUCCUCCUCUCCUCCCGCCGGCCACUCACCUCCUCUUCCUCUUCCUCUCGUCCCCUGUCCUCCUCCUCUUCGUCGGGAGUUGGGGGCUGCGAGGGCGGAGCCGGGGGGCCCCACUGGGAGGAUGAAAGCACCAGCAGUGAGAGCAAGUCCAGUUCUUCUGGAAGCCGCUACAGGCCAACCUGGAGGCCCAGGAGAGAGGCCCUGAACAUCGACAGCAUCUUCACCCGACCGAGAGGCUCCUCUCUGGGCUACAACACCCUGCCUGGUCCCUCUCUUCCUCCGGAGCCCCAGGACUCCUUCCCCUUGGUGGGACCCGCUCCACCCACACAGCCAGGGCUGCAAGAGGUGGAGGGAAGGGAAGUCGGGGAGUCAGAGGUGGGGUUUGGGCUGGUCGGGCAGCCCAGGUCUCUGGGCAGUGGGCGGACGAUGGGUCCCCCUGCCCCUCCACCUCUGAGAGGGGUGGAGCACCAGCCGCGUCUGAUCCAGAGGAUGGAGAGUGGCUACGAGAGCAGUGAGAGGAACAGCAGCAGCCCCGACAGGGAGGUGGGGCAACAGAAACGGGUGCUGAUGUCAGGACCUUCAUGGCGUUCGGUGCCCAAGUCAAAGAGCAGCGGUGCCAUCCUGCAGGAGCUGCCCUCACCCAGCUGGGGUGGCGGCACCAACACAGGCGGCUCAGGGCGCAGUGAGCUGGACGAGCUGCAGGAGGAGGUAGCGAGGAGAGCCCGCCAGCAGGAACAGCAGAAGCGGAGGGAGGCGGAGCGGGAGGCGGCCAUGGGAUUCAACCCCAAACCCAGCAAAUUCAUGGACCUGGACCAGCUCCAACACCAGGCUGUGCUCAGACCCCUGCAUGAGGCUAACGCUCAUAGCGGAUUGGCUGUAGCUGCGUGCAUGAGGAGCACUGGGGGCCCAAUCAAACGCAGGCAGGAACAGGAAAUGGAACGGGAGACAGGAAGCGCCCGCCCACAGGGGCCUCGCAGUGAACAGCCUGGCCCGGUCCAAGUACUGCUGACGCCCAAUCAGGAGGAGGAAGAGGACCAGGCAACGGCCAACCAGGACGCUGCUCUGGGCCCGGACCCGCCCCCUCCACCCUAUCGGCCCGCUCCCCCUCGGCCCCCGCUCACCCUCAGCAUCCCUCACCCUUGCGCCCCUUCCAGCCAAGGGGAGGGGGAGGAGGGUGGAUGCAUGGGGAGGAGAGGGGAGGAAGGCGAGGAUGGGAGGGAGGGGACGGGGGUGAGGCUGUGUGAGUUGCUGCAGGCAGGGGGGGUGAGUGUCAGACCCCUGGGGAAGCACUUAGCCAUCUCUCUGCCCUCGCUUCCUCUGCGUCUCUGGGAUACACACACCACACACACCGCACACUCCGCACACCUUGAACCCACACACACACACCCUCCCCCUCCGUCCUCUUCUCCUCCCCCAUCUUCCCCUCUGGAAGCCUCCGGGCAAAGGAAACCUCUCACGCCUCUGUGGCAGCCCCCCCGGCCCCAUUCCCCCGCUGGUGCUGCUCAGCAUUGGCCGAGGCACGAAGCCACCGCUGACAGCGGCACGCGUCAUUGGUCCUCCUGGAGUUUGGACCGCCCUGAUGCCGUGGUGACGCCGUAUGACACGCCCCCAGACCGCUGUGUCCCCAUCAGGCCGCAGACGACCAGUCAGCACUACAGCUACAGUUGCCAGUCCUCUCCAGGGCACUACAGCUCCCAGCAUGCCCCAGGGCAACACAGUGAUCCCUCGUGUGACCGCGAAGAGGCUGAGCUGUCUGAGCUUGACUCCCUUUACCAGGCCAGUCUGCAGGCUGGCAAGACAGGCUGCAGCCCAUCCGAGAGGCUCAUAUCCAGGGUGGGAGGGCAGGCUCGCUCCAAGACCCCCAACGCAGACAUGGAGAGGAGUGUGUACGGGGCCGACUGCACCAGCACCCCCACCUACCUCAACAAGCCAAUGAUGUUGCGGGAUCUGCGUUUCGGGGUGGAGCCUGAUGAUGGGGAGAACCUGAGACGAAUCGGACGCAGCCUGAGCGGCACAGUGGUGACCUCGCGCCGCAGCCGCCUGACUGCAACCCGCAGCUUCGUGAAGCAGGCUGAUGUCAGUGCCUCUCCUUGCUUACUUCCUCUCUUCUGAGUCCCUGUUGCUAUUCCACCACUAUCAUCUUCCUCCAUCCUCCUCAUCACCAACACCUUCUCAUCACCACCUCCCUCCACCGCUUCACAGGAGCUGUCGGGCGGUGCAGGGAGUUUCUGGCUGUGUCUGACGGGGGUCAAGCUGUCUUCUGAUCAGAGUCCCGCUCUGCUUCACUAAUGUCUCACAGCGUCCACCUCCGCAUCGGGGCAGCAGCGCCGGGGGUCUUCGCCGGGGCCUCUCCUUGACAGACCUGGAAUCGGCUCAGGAGGAUCAAACUCCGAUCCCGUUCCUCCUCCCUCUCCCUCAAACGACAUGCACACGCAAACACAUGCACGCACACAUGCACAUCUGCACUGACGUAGAGCCUCCCUCAGCGCCUGCAGCACCCCGCUUAGCCUCUCCUUGCCUUCCUCCCUCCCUCCCGCCCUCUUUUGACCUACUAUUCUGUCUAUGCAGUCACUCUGACCCCCAACUACAACCUCAACCUUCCCCCCCUACUUCCCAGGACUGUUGUAUCUUGUCUCCCCCUGAGUUUUCAGAGGGAUUUCCCUGUGCAGCCUGGCGAGCAUGCCGCUUUCAGUGGAGUUGUCGGCGUGGUCGCUCACUUGGCCGGGUCCGACUGGGACCUGAGCUCUCGGCAGACUCGUCCUCCAUCCUACAGGACCCUCAGCUCAGGGGGAGACUCUUACCAAGUAGCCACGCCUCUUCCUCUUUCUUCACGGGCAUUUCCUGUUGGACGCACACAUAGCCGAACUGGGUCUGUUUCAGAUGGACAGCCAUAUUUUUUCUCUCUUUGUUUUUUGGGUUUGUUUUUUUCUUCCUGUGUGCGCGCACAGUAAACCCGUCCGAGACCGAACUCACUAAUAACUAAAAGUCAUGUACAGAAAAACUCAUGUAUGAAACCUGUAUGUUAAUUAAUAAGACCUUAUGGAAUGUUGAUAAUGAUAAUUAACGAAUAUUGAUAAACUUAAAGUGGUACUUCCUCAUGUCUGCAUUUCAAAUAGGAGUGGAGUGCACUUCACAAGUGUCUAGCUGGAGUUUCCGCCCCCCUCCCCUCUCCCUCUCAAAAACCGCUCGCCGACCUAAUGACAGCUCUCCCGUUUCUACCGGGAGAUUAAACAAGAAAAGCGCUUCCUUUUUUCUCUGCUUCUCUCCUUGUUCUUUUCUUUCCUUCUUCCUUGCUGUCUUUUGAAUUCACGCCUGCAAACAGGAAACAGUAGCACCAGAAAUAGGCCGACAGGGGAGGAAAGUCGAGAUGGGACGAGCGUAUGUAGGCUAGGAAACCCUUCUCUUAGGCUUUAUCAAUGAAAAAAAAAAGAAAGGGAUUGACUCAAGUGCGCUUUACAAGGUUACACGGCAGAAGUGCACUUUCUGAAGGCUAUUUGAGCGAGAGGCAGCCGGAGAGAAGUCGACGAUGGCGUUUGUUUCACUUAAAGGCCUCAGGUGAACUUCAGUGGCACUUACCAAUUCACACUUUAUGAUUUCUCCCCUCCCACUGAAACUGGUUUUGAGACCUCAGAUGUGAAUAGAAAAUGCUCAUCUUCAGCCUGGGACAGUGACAUGUCUAAUAUGAAUAUGCUUUAUAUGAUAUAUAUGUAUUAGAGGUAUAUUUUCAGCCAGUGAGCUAUCUUCUUCAGAGAUGUCAACCAUUUCUCAGUUAUAUGAACAGUUAUUACACAGUAAUGAAGUUAAUUCACCCCCUUUACUGAGGAGCAUUCUGACAUGUGUAGAGUACAUUUAUUAUAUGCUUUAUUCUAUUAAAUAUUAUAUGAAAUAACUCCUUAUACAACAACUGGCCAAUGUAAAGUUCAAGAACUUACUGAUGUUGAUUGAUCGUUGUAACUAAACCAAAGGUUGGCACUUAACUCAGAGAGCGUAUUUAACAUUGCUGUUUUUACUUUCAUUUAGGUUCAGAUUUUGUUGUUUUUUUCUUUGUUUGUUUGUUUGUUUAUUUUGGGUUCUGGAUGUGGGAGAAUGUAGCCAAUUGUAGCGCAUGAGUCCGCUAUGCAAAUCAACCUUCCCUCACGAUCCUGUAUCAGAGACAGUCAGGAGGCAGACACACCCACCCGCGGGGGCGCUCUCACGGACUCUGGCAGAGACGCGGCGAGGUGGAGGAGAUCUCACGUUUUAAUGCUGCUGGUGAACUUUGUUGUUCUGCAUCUAACUACUAUGUCUCAACCAAUGGAAUGCAAAAAGAGAGCAACGAGGAAGAGGACAGGGAGGAAAGAGAGCGAAUGAAUGUAAACUAAAGGAUGAAAGUGCGUGAAUGAUGCGAUGGUCAGAGACGAGAGAGGUUUGGAGAGUGCAGAUGGUUUACUGUUUGUGGGUGUGUGUAGACUGCGUGUGUCAGUUCUGGGGUGGUGUUGCUCGGGGAAAGAGGGAACCUGUAUUUUUGCAAUAAAGUUAUUACCAAUGCACUCCCACAGGGGGCGUAAC